GCUGCCUCUAGAGGCACAGCAGGUGUGUCUGCUGUGGCACAAAUGCAUCAGUAGGUGGCAGAGAGGAGAAAGGCUAUUUCUCACUCAGUGUUCUGACCUAUGAACAUCUGAAUGUAGUGGCCUAACAUU
Acomys russatus (golden spiny mouse) is the source of this 129-nucleotide small nucleolar RNA. RefSeq annotates it as small nucleolar RNA SNORA17. The record is from RefSeq and is a predicted model, not a curated record. The transcript has a single exon. NCBI's taxonomy places the organism in Eukaryota, Metazoa, Chordata, Mammalia, Rodentia, Muridae.